CAUGCCCUUUAUGUCUUGGGCUUCACGCAUGCUACAAUGGCUGGUACAGAGAGAGGCGAACCCGUGAGGGUAAGCGAAUCCCUUAAAGCCAGUCUCAGUUCGGAUCGUAGUCUGCAAUUCGACUACGUGAAGUCGGAGUCGCUAGUAAUCGCAGAUCAGCAACGAUGCGGUGAAUACGUUCCCGGGCCUUGUACACACCGCCCSUCAGUCGCGAAAGUCGGUAACACCCGAAGCCGGUGUCCCAACCCA
This 249-nucleotide ribosomal RNA is filed under the name Brevibacterium sp. RNAcentral describes it as "partial 16S ribosomal RNA". It matches the Rfam family "Bacterial small subunit ribosomal RNA", at positions 1194 to 1442 of the family's 1533-position model. Lineage: Bacteria; Bacillati; Actinomycetota; Actinomycetes; Micrococcales; Brevibacteriaceae. The record is from RNAcentral.